Molecule: long non-coding RNA, 581 nt
Filed under: Manihot esculenta (cassava)
Lineage: Eukaryota; Viridiplantae; Streptophyta; Magnoliopsida; Malpighiales; Euphorbiaceae
Description: long non-coding RNA (MESC_LNC002571)
Source: RNAcentral
AAAAGGCCAAGGGGACAAAAGCCAGGUUCGGCCGCCGAAAGUGAAGUUCGGCAGCCGAAAGUUGCAUGGUUUCGCAUGCACGUUAGGCCGCCGAAGGAAGAGUCGGUUGGUCACUACAAAAGCACCUUUGCCCGAGACUUGAGGGUUAAACACUCUGUUUUUGGGUCAAAGGUGGGUUCAAGCUCUCCUUGGUGUGAUUUUUCAUGUUUUCCUCAAAUCUUGCAUGUUUUAACUUGAUUUGAGCUUUGUUUUAGAGUUUUGAGCAAAAGGAAGCAAAGUGAGCAUUUGGAGACUUUGAUUGAGUUUUUCACCCAUCUCCAAGCUUGGAUCAUCAAUCCUCUAGUUCUUCAAGAGGUAAGCAUGGAUCCUCACCUCCCCUUAUGUUUAAAGUAUGUUUUAAGAGUUUUUAGAGAGUUUUAUAGCAUGGUUUGGGUGUAACCAUGAGUUUGAGCAUAUGUUGCUCAUAUGAGCUUUGAUGAGUUUUGAGGUUGUUUAUGGGGUUUGAGUUAGUUUAUCAGCCCCUAUAUGCAUGAGAUAUGUUAUAUGCUAGUUGAGAAGUGAUGGUAUGCAUGUUAUGGGUG